CAUCUCCUUCCAAGUUCACGGGUUCUUUCAAGACUCUUCCUCUCUUAUAGGUCACAGAGGCCAAAUUACCAGAACUAUCGUCUAUGAGGUUGCAGCGACGAAUGAUGAACACCACUGGGACAGGAAGUAUUGCCAGCACCAUCAGAGAGAAACAGACAACCAUCCCCCACAUUGGGUAGCUCAGAAAUUCUUCCGAUGCCUGGAGUCAAAAGCUGUGCAACCACUGUUCUUCAGUGAUUAGACGAAGAGAUCUGAUUUAAUAUACUAAAAACAUAGAGAUGUGGUAUCAGCUGUUACAUCUGCUUAUGAAGAACUCUGUGUGCCCUUUCAACAAUCACAUAAUUACUUAUUUCAGAACUGCAAACACCACCAGCGUUGCCAGGACUGAAGUGAAAAAGUUGAUGAACGACACUAGGACAGCGUCGAAGUGGCAGUUGUUGUCUCUCUUGUUAUAACUCGAAAACGCGAUGACUCCACCAAAUCCCAAACCCAACGCAAAGAAGACCUGAGUGGCUGCCUCUCUCCAAACCUUGGGUUCCAGCAUUAUUUCAAGCUGUUUGAAAUUGAAAAGAACAGAAAUUAGUAAUAAAUUCCUAGUUCUAAGAAA
Mastomys coucha (southern multimammate mouse) is the source of this 607-nucleotide long non-coding RNA. RefSeq lists it as uncharacterized. NCBI's taxonomy places the organism in Eukaryota, Metazoa, Chordata, Mammalia, Rodentia, Muridae. The transcript has 4 exons. The record is from RefSeq and is a predicted model, not a curated record.